GGUGGCUCAGUGGUAGAGUGCUUGCCUUGCAUGCAUGAGACGCUGGGUUCGAUUCCUCAGCACCA
This is a non-coding RNA of Dipodomys ordii (Ord's kangaroo rat), 65 nucleotides long. The record is from Rfam. Lineage: Eukaryota; Metazoa; Chordata; Mammalia; Rodentia; Heteromyidae.